RNAcentral lists this long non-coding RNA (479 nucleotides) under Coffea arabica (coffee). Its description in RNAcentral is "long non-coding RNA (CARA_LNC003333)". The record is from RNAcentral. Lineage: Eukaryota; Viridiplantae; Streptophyta; Magnoliopsida; Gentianales; Rubiaceae.
AACAAAGUUAAGCUUGAAGACAUCAGUCCAAGGAAUAUCAGUUAAUGCUACAAUCUGGAAAAAAAGGAAGCAAAAGAGUACCUAAACAGUUUAGCCAUAAAUAUAUGAUCUUUAUUUAAGAUUGGAAUAAAUACAAUCUAUAUCUCUCUUUGAUAUGCUAAGAAGAGGAAAUUCCAUAACCAUAAGACAUCGAAAACAGGGAGUAACAAAGUGGAUAUAAUUGGCUAGGUAUUACAUUUAAAAAAUGAACAAGACCCUCUGCUUGUUGUUGCUUGCAUACUCACCAAGGCAAACUACAAAAUUAGCAAACUAGUAAAACCGUGCAAAGCAUCAUGACAUGCAUGAUUAGAGGAAAAAUUUGCACAAACAGUCAAGUUAAAACCCUAAACUAAUAACAUGAUAUAGAGGAGUGUUUUUGAAGACAUUGAUUGCUAGAGCAGUUCUACAUUUGCAAGGAAACAAUUGAGUCUAAACAGAAC